UACGUAGGGUGCAAGCGUUGUCCGGAUUUAUUGGGCGUAAAGAGCUUGUAGGCGGCCACAUAAGUUGGACGUGAAAACUCCGGGCUUAACUUGGAGAGGCCGUUCAAUACUGUGAGGCUGGAGGGUGUCAGAGGGAAGUAGAAUUCCUGGUGUAGCAGUGAAAUGCGUAGAUAUCAGGAGGAAUACCCGUGGCGAAGGCGGCUUCCUGGGGCACCACUGACGCUGAGAAGCGAAAGCUAGGGGAGCAAACGGG
Molecule: ribosomal RNA, 253 nt
Filed under: uncultured bacterium
Lineage: Bacteria
Description: partial 16S ribosomal RNA
Rfam family: Bacterial small subunit ribosomal RNA
Source: RNAcentral